Molecule: ribosomal RNA, 253 nt
Filed under: uncultured bacterium
Lineage: Bacteria
Description: partial 16S ribosomal RNA
Rfam family: Bacterial small subunit ribosomal RNA
Source: RNAcentral
UACGGGGGGAGCAAGCGUUGUUCGGAUUUACUGGGCGUAAAGGGCGCGUAGGCGGCGCCGCAAGUCACUUGUGAAAUCUCCGGGCUCAACUCGGAACGGCCAAGUGAUACUGCGGUGCUAGAGUGCGGAAGGGGCAACUGGAAUUCUUGGUGUAGCGGUGAAAUGCGUAGAUAUCAAGAGGAACACCUGCGGCGAAGGCGGGUUGCUGGGCCGACACUGACGCUGAGGCGCGAAAGCUAGGGGAGCGAACGGG